RNAcentral lists this ribosomal RNA (234 nucleotides) under uncultured bacterium. Its description in RNAcentral is "partial 16S ribosomal RNA". It matches the Rfam family "Bacterial small subunit ribosomal RNA", at positions 95 to 334 of the family's 1533-position model. The record is from RNAcentral.
UGGGCGGACGGGUGAGUAAUGUCUGGGAAACUGCCUGAUGGAGGGGGAUAACUACUGGAAACGGUAGCUAAUACCGCAUAACGUCGCAAGACCAAGAGGGGACCUUCGGGCCUCUUGCCAUCGGAUGUGCCCAGAUGGGAUUAGCUAGUAGGUGGGGUAACGGCUCACCUAGGCGACGAUCCCUAGCUGGUCUGAGAGGAUGACCAGCCACACUGGAACUGAGACACGGUCCAG